This 94-nucleotide transfer RNA is filed under the name Chloroflexota bacterium. RNAcentral describes it as "Chloroflexi bacterium (mine drainage metagenome) tRNA-Sec". It matches the Rfam family "Selenocysteine transfer RNA". The record is from RNAcentral. Lineage: Bacteria; Bacillati; Chloroflexota.
GGGGGUGAAUGUGUCCCGGUGGAUGCCCCGGUCUUCAAAACUGGUGGCAGCCUGCUCGGCAGGCUGCGGUGAGUUCGACUCUCAUUCUCCCCCG